RNAcentral lists this long non-coding RNA (209 nucleotides) under Elaeis guineensis (African oil palm). RNAcentral describes it as "long non-coding RNA (EGUI_LNC000065)". The record is from RNAcentral. Lineage: Eukaryota; Viridiplantae; Streptophyta; Magnoliopsida; Arecales; Arecaceae.
AUUGGAAAGAAAAAGAAAAAAAAAGUAGAAAAUAUGAGAGUUUCUCCUCCUCUGCUACCCAUGUGAUAAUGCUGACGAGAAAGAAGAAAAGAAGAGAGAAGUGAGUGAAGGCAUCAUCAUGGGGAAUGCGAUCAAGAUGGUCCGACGGGUCUUCGAGUAGUUCAAUACGAACGAUAAUAGAGGUCUAAAUCAGGAGGAUAUGGUGACAC